Molecule: ribosomal RNA, 253 nt
Filed under: uncultured bacterium
Lineage: Bacteria
Description: partial 16S ribosomal RNA
Rfam family: Bacterial small subunit ribosomal RNA
Source: RNAcentral
UACGUAGGGACCAAGCGUUGUUCGGAAUCAUUGGGCGUAAAGCGCACGUAGGCGGCUUUGCAAGUCAGGUGUGAAAGCCUGGGGCUCAACCCCAGAAGUGCAUUUGAAACUGCAGAGCUUGAGUCUUGGAGAGGGCAGUGGAAUUCCGAGUGUAGAGGUGAAAUUCGUAGAUAUUCGGAGGAACACCAGUGGCGAAGGCGACUGCCUGGACAAAGACUGACGCUGAGGUGCGAAAGCGUGGGGAGCAAACAGG